RNAcentral lists this ribosomal RNA (253 nucleotides) under uncultured bacterium. RNAcentral describes it as "partial 16S ribosomal RNA". It matches the Rfam family "Bacterial small subunit ribosomal RNA", at positions 524 to 776 of the family's 1533-position model. The record is from RNAcentral.
UACGUAGGGUGCAAGCGUUGUUCGGAAUUAUUGGGCGUAAAGGGCGCGUAGGCGGUUUGACAAGUCUGAUGUGAAAUCUCUGGGCUCAACCCAGAGUCUGCAUUAGAAACUGUCGGGCUUGAGUAUGGGAGAGGUGAGUGGAAUUUCCGGUGUAGCGGUGAAAUGCGUAGAUAUCGGAAGGAACACCUGUGGCGAAAGCGGCUCACUGGACCAUAACUGACGCUGAGGCGCGAAAGCUAGGGGAGCAAACAGG